This 423-nucleotide ribosomal RNA is filed under the name uncultured Alphaproteobacteria bacterium. RNAcentral describes it as "bacterial SSU rRNA". It matches the Rfam family "Bacterial small subunit ribosomal RNA", at positions 472 to 895 of the family's 1533-position model. The record is from RNAcentral. Lineage: Bacteria; Pseudomonadati; Pseudomonadota; Alphaproteobacteria.
ACGGUACCCAGUGAAGAAGCCCCGGCUAACUCCGUGCCAGCAGCCGCGGUAAUACGGAGGGGGCUAGCGUUGUUCGGAAUUACUGGGCGUAAAGGGCGCGCAGGCGGGCGGGAAAGUUGGAGGUGAAAUCCCGGGGCUCAACCCGGGAUGUGCCCUUGAUACUGACUGACUGGAGUUCGAAAGAGGAGUGUGGAAUUCCCAGUGUAGAGGUGAAAUUCGUAGAUAUUGGGAGGAACACCAGUGGCGAAGGCGGCUCUCUGGUUCGAUUCUGACGCUGAGGCGCGAAAGCGUGGGUAGCAAACAGGAUUAGAUACCCUGGUAGUCCACGCCGUAAACGAUGAGCGCUAGCCGUGGGUCUGCAUGCUGUUCAGUGUCACAGUUAACGCAUUAAGCAUUCCGCCUGGGGAGUACGAUCGCAAGGUU